GAGUUUGAUCCUGGCUCAGGAGGAACGCUGGCGGCGUGCCUAACACAUGCAAGUCGAGCGAGAAAUAGUCAGACGGAGAUUUCGGUUGAAGGAUGGUUAUGGAAAGCGGCGGACGGGUGAGUAACGCGUAGGCAACCUGCCUCAUGCAGAGGGAUAGCCUCGGGAAACCGGGAUUAAAACCUCAUAAGGCCAAGGGGACACAUGUUUUCGUGGUCAAAGAUUUAUCGGCAUGAGAUGGGCCUGCGUCUGAUUAGCUGGUUGGUGAGGUAACGGCUCACCAAGGCGACGAUCAGUAGCCGACCUGAGAGGGUAAACGGCCACAUUGGAACUGAGACACGGUCCAAACUCCUACGGGAGGCAGCAGUGGGGAAUAUUGCACAAUGGGCGAAAGCCUGAUGCAGCAACGCCGCGUGAGCGAAGAAGGCCUUUGGGUCGUAAAGCUCUGUCGAUAGGGAAGAAAAAGGUGACGGU
RNAcentral lists this ribosomal RNA (471 nucleotides) under Peptostreptococcaceae bacterium canine oral taxon 125. RNAcentral describes it as "bacterial SSU rRNA". It matches the Rfam family "Bacterial small subunit ribosomal RNA", at positions 9 to 476 of the family's 1533-position model. The record is from RNAcentral. Lineage: Bacteria; Bacillati; Bacillota; Clostridia; Peptostreptococcales; Peptostreptococcaceae.